RNAcentral lists this ribosomal RNA (187 nucleotides) under uncultured rumen bacterium. RNAcentral describes it as "partial 16S ribosomal RNA". It matches the Rfam family "Bacterial small subunit ribosomal RNA", at positions 340 to 524 of the family's 1533-position model. The record is from RNAcentral.
UACGGGAGGCAGCAGUGAGGAAUAUUGGUCAAUGGGCGAGAGCCUGAACCAGCCAAGUAGCGUGCAGGAAGACGGCCCUAUGGGUUGUAAACUGCUUUUAUACAGGGAUAAAGUCGCCUACGUGUAGGUGUUUGCAGGUACUGUAUGAAUAAGGACCGGCUAAUUCCGUGCCAGCAGCCGCGGUAAU